CGGGGUGAGUAAUGUCUGGGAAACUGCCUGAUGGAAGGGGAUAACUACUGGAAACGGUAGCUAAUACCGCAUAGCGUCGCAAGACCAAAGAGGGGGACCUUCGGGCCUCUUGCCAUCGGAUGUGCCCAGAUGGGAUUAGCUAGUAGGUGGGGUAACGGCUCACCUAGGCGACGAUCCCUAGCUGGUCUGAGAGGAUGACCAGCCACACUGGAACUGAGACACGGUCCAG
This 229-nucleotide ribosomal RNA is filed under the name uncultured bacterium. RNAcentral's name for it is "partial 16S ribosomal RNA". It matches the Rfam family "Bacterial small subunit ribosomal RNA", at positions 104 to 334 of the family's 1533-position model. The record is from RNAcentral.